CUUUAUAAUUUUUCAAGGCUGUAGACAGUAGGUGCGAAGGCAUAAAGGACCUUUGGGUCCGCCCACCGAGGCCGGAGAUAAAAGUGGCUUAUUGACAUUUGCUUUUGUCAUAAACGACCUCCGGACUUUGCCGUGAGGUCGUUUUUGUUUUCGCAA
Regulatory RNA element from Acetonema longum DSM 6540, 156 nucleotides. It matches the Rfam family "Ribosomal protein L10 leader". From Rfam's summary of the family: This family is a putative r-protein leader autoregulatory structure found in B. subtilis and other low-GC Gram-positive bacteria. It is located in the 5' untranslated regions of mRNAs encoding ribosomal proteins L10 and L12 (rplJ-rplL). The record is from Rfam. Lineage: Bacteria; Bacillati; Bacillota; Negativicutes; Acetonemataceae.